Molecule: unclassified non-coding RNA, 218 nt
Filed under: Clavaria falcata
Lineage: Eukaryota; Fungi; Basidiomycota; Agaricomycetes; Agaricales; Clavariaceae
Description: partial internal transcribe spacer 2
Source: RNAcentral
AUCUCUCAACACAGACAGGUUUUGUUACCUGUUCUGUUGUUUGGAUUUUGAAGGCUUUGCUGGCAGUCUGACUGUCAGCUCCUUUUAAAUGCAUUAGCAGAAAUCAUGCAGAACUGGCCUCAGUUUGAUAAAGAUUUAUCUAUGUUGCUGUCGCCAGGAUAAUGCUAGUAUUUUUCAGCUUCUAAUAGUCCUUUCAGGACUGUCUCACUUGAGGCAUA